This 103-nucleotide microRNA precursor is filed under the name Marmota monax (woodchuck). Lineage: Eukaryota; Metazoa; Chordata; Mammalia; Rodentia; Sciuridae. The record is from RNAcentral.
AGUGGGAUAGCUGGGACAAAUGACGGUUUCAUUCCAGGUUUUCUAAGUAAUCUCCAUACUGCUUUCCAGAUUGGUUGCACCAAUUUGCAGUCCCACUAGAAAU